This 844-nucleotide ribosomal RNA is filed under the name uncultured marine bacterium. RNAcentral describes it as "bacterial SSU rRNA". It matches the Rfam family "Bacterial small subunit ribosomal RNA", at positions 55 to 947 of the family's 1533-position model. The record is from RNAcentral.
AUGCAAGUCGAACGCAGUAGCAAUGCUGAGUGGCAAACGGGUGAGUAUAAUGUGGGAAUCUGCCUUUUGGUUUGGAAUAACACGGGGAAACUUGUGCUAAUACCGGAUAAGCCUUUACAGGGAAAGUUUUAACGCCGAAAGAUGAGCCCGCACUUGAUUAGCUAGUUGGUAAGGUAAAAGCUUACCAAGGCAAUGAUCAAUAGCUGUUCUUAGAGGAAGACCAGCCACAUUGGGACUGAGACACGGCCCAGACUCCUACGGGAGGCAGCAGUGGGGAAUCUUGCACAAUGGGGGAAACCCUGAUGCAGCGAUGCCGCGUGAGUGAAGAAGGCCUUUGGGUUGUAAAACUCUUUCGUCGGGGAAGAAAAUGACUGUACCCGAAUAAGAAGGUCCGGCUAACUUCGUGCCAGCAGCCGCGGUAAUACGAAGGGACCUAGCGUAGUUCGGAAUUACUGGGCUUAAAGAGCUCGUAGGUGGUUAAAAAAGUUGAUGGUGAAAUCCCAAGGCUCAACCUUGGAACUGCCAUCAAAACUUUUUAGCUAGAGUGUGAUAGAGGUAAGUGGAAUUUCUAGUGUAGAGGUGAAAUUCGUAGAUAUUAGAAAGAACACCAAAUGCGAAGGCAACUUACUGGGUCACAACUGACACUGAGGAGCGAAAGCAUGGGUAGCGAAGAGGAUUAGAUACCCUCGUAGUCCAUGCCGUAAACGAUGUGUGCUAGACGUUGGAAAUAUAUUUUUCAGUGUCGCAGCGAAAGCGUUAAGCACACCGCCUGGGGAGUACGACCGCAAGGUUUAAACUCAAAUGAAUUGACGGGGACCCGCACAAGCAGUGGAGCAUGUGGUUU